RNAcentral lists this long non-coding RNA (1433 nucleotides) under Scleropages formosus (Asian bonytongue). RNAcentral describes it as "lncRNA (ENSSFOG00015031450.1)". Lineage: Eukaryota; Metazoa; Chordata; Actinopteri; Osteoglossiformes; Osteoglossidae. The record is from RNAcentral.
AUUUCUGCUACACGUUAUGGAUUUGUCUCGAAAUUCUACCAGGACAGAGGAGGCAUACUCUGCCCGAGGAUGUCCUGAGCGCAGAGUCACAGGUGUCCAGUCUGGGACCACUUUUCCUCCAGAGAUCACGUUUCUCACAGUGAAAAGCUGUGAUCAUUGUAAAAGCCUCAAUCUGAGUUUUGGGUUUGCAAAGAGAUUGAUGGAUUUCAAUAAAGCGCUGAGUGCCAUUGAUGAGCGGACGGUCAAACUGGCACGCAUUCUGGAUGACAGUCAGUUGAGUCGUCUGUCCGACCAGAUGAGAAAGUCUGAAGGCAUCUGGGCAAAAAUCCACGAUUUAGAGGCUCUUGAGCAUCGGUCUGAUGAUCUAUCUCUUUCACCUGCGCCAUGCGACUUGCAGGUACACCGGAGCACGCCCAAAAAAGGCUCCAGUGCCAUAGGCUUCUUUGAUGAAGGACUGACUCUGAAUGAAACUGGCCCUGCACAUGAGGAUUUGCAUCUUAACGCAAGAAGCAAAGAAAUUGGCUAUACCACUGAAAAUGACAGCAUUGACUUCAGUGCUGAAGAAAUUCCCCCUGCCGCUGCACCAGGAAAUGCUUGGAACGGUGACCCUUCACUCUUUACCCAUGGGGCAGAGCACUCAAAGGAGCUGGAUUCUGGUAUUCAAGAAGGAGAGAGCAUUCAGCCAGAAGAGGGAGAACCAGAGAAAGACGCGUAUCAGGCAGAACUUGGUCCACCCUCCGGCUCUCAGUCCAAGACCAGCCUUGGAAGCACACAGGGCGACGCAGAAAUGGAGAAACCCACAGCCCAAAAGAGAGACACAGUGUGGUCCAGGGUUCCGAUGUUCAUACGUUUGUUUGUAUUUGCAGCUGUGGGUUUCCUUAUGCUGGGUUCUCUCCACUGGUGCAGGUAUAGAGUACCAAGAUCAUGGGUCUCAGAUAGUUUCAUGGGUGAUGUCCUAAACCUUUGCCAUGACCCCCUGUGCAAUCCACCUAUUUGACAUUAAAAACCCUUGCCUUAAUAAUGUUGAAGCAAGCUUAUACUGCUUUCCCAGUAUUUGGGUAUAACUUUAUUGAAUACAUGUAUUCAAUGAGCUGAUGCCUUUGUCCAUGGCAAUUUUUAUUCAGCUGGGUCGUUUUCACUGGAGUAAUUCAGGGUAAGAACCUUGCACAAAGGUACCGUAGCAGAAGAAGAGAGUUCAAACCAGGUUCUUUGAUAGCAAGAUGAUAGCUCAAAAGUUACACCACAUGUCUCUCUGUAAUACUGUUUUUAGUAUUUUUGGUUCCCCAGUACUUGAUAAGAUGCUACAACCUUGAUGAAAACACUUCUAUGGAUGUUUCUGGCAAAUUAGCAUCAGGUAAUGUUUUUGCAGUUAAUGUAGCCCCAGAUGUCUUCAGUGAGAUUGGUUUCAAUAAAUAAAACCACCAUUAAUAUCA